GAAGCUAGUCAGUGAUGUCUACACGGCAGAGAGAAAGCCAAGGGGAUCUGAGAGAGGCUGGGAAGGAAUGAAUAAUUGGAGGCAGCCACCUGCACACCCCAAGGGAGCUGAAUUUGAAAUGAUGACAGCAGUUCAAGAUGAGGAAACCGAGGCACGGAGGGGGCAAAACAGCUCAUACAUGGCAGAGCUGAAGUGGAAAACCAGGGGACCUACCUCGGCACACAUGUGUGUACAGAUGGGCCCAAGAAAUGAGGCAGACAGACUGAGACCCUGGAUGUGCCAAGGAGCUGACACAGAAGCCCCAGGGCCUGACCAGUUCUGGAAUAUCAACAAAUACGUAUGGGACAAGUAGAAAGAACAUAUGAAACUUCACAGGCCCAGAUAGAGUCUGAGAAAGUCCAGGCCCACAGGGAUUGUGUGACUUCACCAAGGCUGCAGAGCUGCUCGGGGGAGGCUGGGUGCCGCUGAGGCCUCCGUGGAGUCUACCGUCAUGUGGCUUGGCCACGGACGCAGACUCAGUGUCUCCUUGCAGCUGGCGGCCUCCAGAAGGCAGAGUCCCACGGAGGAGCCGGGGAGAAGGGGCUCCCCAGCAGGUCUGAGGCCCCACGUCCCUGGUACAGAGAGUCCGGGGCUGGCUGCUAGGACCCAGGCUUCUCUCUGGGCUGUGUUCAUGUAACUUUUUCAAGUAUCCAUCUACAUGUCAUUUAAAACAAGGUUUAGGUUGUUUUAUGAAAGUAACAUAAGCCGGUGGCAACAACCAAUGUAAGUGAUAUAGAAGGCCAGAAAAUGGAACACAGAAGCAACUCUGCAUGUACACAGAGCAAAACCAUUGGAGCUUAAAACCUGCCUGGAGGGCAACGUGCACAGCAGAUUGAGACAGAGAACACAACGCUGUCUACGCAAGCUAAAGAUACAUGCGCACCAACCACACUGCGUGUUUUGCAAGAACCGUGAUAACAGAAAGGAACACUAAACCCAUUAGAAUCGUCCUUUGUAGGGGAGCAAAAUGGGAGUGUGAAAUGCAGAAGAGGGAAUAAAUUAAUGAGUAGAUAAACCGAUGAAGCAAUGAUGAAUGAAUGAAUAAAACAAGAGAAGGGGUGUGGGUGCACCCUUAAAAAUAACAUGCCUCAAACUGAGAAUGAUUCAUGCGGUCUUCUGCUUCCGAUGGUCCCCCUCAUUCAGUUUUAACAUUAAAAAAAAAAAAGAAGAAGAAGACGAUAG
Zalophus californianus (California sea lion) is the source of this 1221-nucleotide long non-coding RNA. RefSeq lists it as uncharacterized. NCBI's taxonomy places the organism in Eukaryota, Metazoa, Chordata, Mammalia, Carnivora, Otariidae. The record is from RefSeq and is a predicted model, not a curated record. The transcript is spliced from 4 exons.